Molecule: ribosomal RNA, 775 nt
Filed under: uncultured Neocallimastigales
Lineage: Eukaryota; Fungi; Neocallimastigomycota; Neocallimastigomycetes; Neocallimastigales
Description: partial large subunit ribosomal RNA
Rfam family: Eukaryotic large subunit ribosomal RNA
Source: RNAcentral
CGCAUCUGUGCAUGCAGCAUAUCAAUAAGCGGAGGAAAAGAAACUAACAAGGAUUCCCUUAGUAACGGCGAGUGAAGCGGGAAGAGCUCAAAUCUGAAAUCUUCAAGGUUUUACCUUGACGAAUUGUAGUUUAAAGAAGUGUUUUCUGUUGAAGUUUUGGUAAAAGUUCUUUGGAAUAGGACAUCAUAGAGGGUGAGAAUCCCGUAUUUGACCAUUAUUUUCAGCUGUGUGAUACACUUUCAAAGAGUCGGAUUGUUUGGGAAUGCAGUCCAAAAUGGGUGGUAAAUUUCAUCUAAAGCUAAAUAUUGGCGAGAGACCGAUAGCGAACAAGUACCGUGAGGGAAAGAUGAAAAGAACUUUGAAAAGAGAGUUAAACAGUACGUGAAAUUGUCAAAAGGGAAGCGUUUGACACCAGUGUUGUUUUCUCGAAAAUCAAUUAAAAAGAGUUUAGAUUUUGUUGUGUAUUGACCUUAACAGCUUGCAUUUCAAUUUUCUUGCUUUUUUUAAUGCACUUUUCGUUUAACAAGUCAACAUCAGUUUCUUUUGUUGUAAAAAGGUCAUUGGAAGGUGGCUUUCUUUUCGGAGAAAGUGUUUAUAGCCUUUGACUCCUGCAAUCGGAGAGACUGAGGUCUGCAGCGUAGAUCCUUCGGGGUUAGAUACAUUUGUGCUAAGUUAUAGCUUUUUAUAGACAACUUGUUGACUAUGAUUAGUCUUGUAGCUUACUCGCUUAUGCUAUUUUACCUACGCUUAGGAUGUUGAUGUGAUACUGCGAGCA